Molecule: non-coding RNA, 1044 nt
Organism: Chelonoidis abingdonii (Abingdon island giant tortoise)
Lineage: Eukaryota; Metazoa; Chordata; Testudines; Testudinidae
Source: RefSeq, a predicted model, not a curated record
UCUGAGCAAUCAAAGGGGGCAGGAGGGGGGUUAUCUGCCCCAUCAGGUCAGGGCCCAGGGAAGAGCAAGGGCGGGAGAGCAGCCCCCAAGCUGAGGGCCGGCCAGGCGGGGAGCUGGGAACGGGAUUUCAAAGGGACCUGAAUGUGGAGGUGCAGAGCUGAGAACUGGACAUGGGGCCCGAUCCUGGAUGCUGCCCCAGGCAGAGCACAGGGCUUGGGCCCUCCACCAGGAGGCAGCAGGACACACACCUGUCACAGGUCGGGGCUGUUUAUCCCAAUCCCAUUGCUGCUUCGGGGCAGGCCCAGCGCCACGUGCUGGUGCAAAGCCCUCAGUGCUUCAUCCCUGUGCGGUGUUAUGUGCAGCUGUUCCCCACCUGCCCUGCCCCAGAGGUGGCUGCAUCUUGGCAUCCGUUGAGCUGUCCCUGUGCAUUACACCAUGUGAUGCUACACUGGGGGCAAGGCCGUGUGGGGCCAGCUCCCCUGGUCAAAGGAGAACCGAGGUUGGUGGUGAAAGAUGGGGGGGGUCAAGAAACUUAAAGGUCAUGGGGGGAUUCCCCCAAAGACCUGGCCAAUGAAGAGAGAGGGAAUGAUCCCUCCCAUGCUCACUGCCAAUGGUCUCUCCCAGCAUCAGCCAUGUUCAGAGCGAAUGGUCCCUCCCAGGCCCCCCCCAUGCUCGAGUGCCAAUGGUCUCUCCCAGUACGGCGGGCAGGGCUCGGUGACAGUAUCAGGCAGCGCCUGGGUGGAAGAGACCAUCUGACCGCGCUGGAGAGGGGAGGUACUACAGGCGCCAGACCUGCCCAGCGAUGGCGACGCCCCCAGGGGUCUCCUCGGGGGAGGACGGACCCAGCUCCCCCCUCCCAGUGGUAAAGUAACUCGCCCCCUCGGCGCACGUGGCCAUGAAGCGGGGUGGCCGGAGGGGCCCCCAGCCCCGUCGCAACCCCGGGCUCCCCGAAACCAAACGCCGUGGCCGAGCCCAGAGGAUGAACAAAGAUAUGGAGCAGCUGGAAUCGGGGCUGCAGCGCCUGGUAGGUGGGACACCCGGACG